This is a long non-coding RNA of Macadamia integrifolia, 599 nucleotides long. RefSeq lists it as uncharacterized. NCBI's taxonomy places the organism in Eukaryota, Viridiplantae, Streptophyta, Magnoliopsida, Proteales, Proteaceae. The transcript has 3 exons. The record is from RefSeq and is a predicted model, not a curated record.
AGCCACCACCGCCACCCAUUUCACUCCAAUUUUCUCACUUGGAUAAUACUUGGACAGCAAGAGAAAGAAAGGAGAAAGAAGAAGAAGAGAAGAGAAGAGAAGGAAAUCAGAGAAGAAAUCAAUUUGCUUAGGAGGCUACUGCAAGAUUCAGCAUCAGGAGUUCCCAAUAGCUGUGAGGGGGCCUAUUCAGCACCAGGAGGAGAGAGUUGUUUCUGAUUGCCAAGGAUGAUGAUUACAGUCAUGGACCUGAUUACAAGUGCGAUGAUUGUGUAUAUGGUGGACAGCAUUUCUGAGAACUGAUGGACAGCAUUUCUGAGAUCUAAUGUAUAUGGUUAUUCUUUUGUGCAUAUAUGGAUAGUGGUAGAAACUAGUUUUUGAUGGUUCAGACUACAUGUGGGAGAAAUGUUAUGUAAUUAGCAGGUGGGAGAAAAGUUUAAUGGUUUAACCGGUGUGAGAACUUUUGUAUAUAUAUAUUUUGAUAUUUGGAUCAUUGUAAUAUGAUGGAUUAUUGUAAGUAGCUUGUGAAUUACUGGACAUAUAAUACUAAGUACCACAUAGAUGCACUGGCUGAAUAUAAACUUUACUUGAUUUUGUAUUAA